AUACGUAGGGUGCAAGCGUUGUUCGGAAUCACUGGGCGUAAAGGGCGUGUAGGCGGAGAAGUAAGCCAGAGGUGAAAGCCCGGGGCUCAACCCCGGAGGGUCUUUUGGAACUGCUUUUCUUGAGAGGGUUAGAGGUUAGCGGAAUUCCUGGUGUAGCGGUGAAAUGCGUAGAUAUCAGGAGGAACACCGGAGGCGAAAGCGGCUAACUGGGGCCAAUCUGACGCUGAGGCGCGAAAGCAUGGGGAGCAAACGGGAGUAGAAACCCCAGUAGUCC
This 274-nucleotide ribosomal RNA is filed under the name uncultured bacterium. RNAcentral's name for it is "partial 16S ribosomal RNA". It matches the Rfam family "Bacterial small subunit ribosomal RNA", at positions 523 to 796 of the family's 1533-position model. The record is from RNAcentral.